RNAcentral lists this ribosomal RNA (607 nucleotides) under uncultured Methanosarcinales archaeon. Its description in RNAcentral is "bacterial SSU rRNA". It matches the Rfam family "Archaeal small subunit ribosomal RNA", at positions 315 to 922 of the family's 1478-position model. The record is from RNAcentral. Lineage: Archaea; Methanobacteriati; Methanobacteriota; Methanomicrobia; Methanosarcinales.
GCCAGGCCCUACGGGGCGCAGCAGGCGCGAAAACUUUACAAUGCGGGAAACCGUGAUAAGGGGACACCGAGUGCCAGCAUCAUAUGCUGGCUGUCCAGGUGUGUAAAAUACACCUGUUAGCAAGGGCCGGGCAAGACCGGUGCCAGCCGCCGCGGUAACACCGGCGGCCCGAGUGGUGAUCGUGAUUAUUGGGUCUAAAGGGUCCGUAGCCGGUUUGGUCAGUCCUCCGGGAAAUCUGAUAGCUCAACUAUUAGGCUUUCGGGGGAUACUGCCAGACUUGGAACCGGGAGAGGUAAGGGGUACUACAGGGGUAGGAGUGAAAUCUUGUAAUCCCUGUGGGACCACCUGUGGCGAAGGCGUCUUACCAGAACGGGUUCGACGGUGAGGGACGAAAGCUGGGGGCACGAACCGGAUUAGAUACCCGGGUAGUCCCAGCCGUAAACGAUGCUCGCUAGGUGUCAGGCAUGGCGCGACCGUGUCUGGUGCCGCAGGGAAGCCGUGAAGCGAGCCACCUGGGAAGUACGGCCGCAAGGCUGAAACUUAAAGGAAUUGGCGGGGGAGCACAACAACGGGUGGAGCCUGCGGUUUAAUUGGAUUCAACGCCGGG